CCGAGGGAAAGCCAGGAUAAGAGAGGGGGACGAGGCUCGGGCUUUGGGGUCAGCCAGAUUUGGGCUCCAGUCUGACUUGCCCUGAGCAAGUUACCCUCUCUCAGUCCCCGGGUUCCUCCUCCUCUGUAAAUGCAACUUAAUAAAAGCACAUCGAGCUCCUUGCAAGUUAUGAAUGGGCUGCGAAAGGUUCAGCACAGGGCCCGGCGGGGCCUCCAGAAGCCACAGGCGCUGUUACUAAUCAUCAUCCUGUCCCUUCCGAGGGCCGUAAAGAUCACAGAAAGGAACAGCGCUGGCGAGAGGCCCUUGGAUCCAACGCCUGGAUGGGCGCUCAGGCUGGCCUCAAGCUCUUAGCCAUCUGGGAAAGAAGGAAGAGGAAGACGAACCUGGGACUGCUCAGAGGAAGCCCUGAUCUCUGAAGGUCCUCCCGAUGCUGACCAGAAACUGACCUGACUGGAAACUGACCAGAAACGUCUGCCAGGACUCAGUUCCCCACACAGAGCAGUGGGGCACGGAAUGACCACCCACAGGGUGGCUGCCCUAGGUGCCCGGUCUGACGGGAGGGCCUGCCCAUGACAAGUGUUCAAUAAAUGUUCGCAUGGCCCUAGACUCCCUGCUCUUCUGCCUGCCACCCCU
This is a long non-coding RNA of Lutra lutra (Eurasian river otter), 633 nucleotides long. RefSeq lists it as uncharacterized. NCBI's taxonomy places the organism in Eukaryota, Metazoa, Chordata, Mammalia, Carnivora, Mustelidae. The record is from RefSeq and is a predicted model, not a curated record. The transcript has 3 exons.